Molecule: long non-coding RNA, 433 nt
Filed under: Lathyrus oleraceus (garden pea)
Lineage: Eukaryota; Viridiplantae; Streptophyta; Magnoliopsida; Fabales; Fabaceae
Description: Pisum sativum (pea) long non-coding RNA (PSAT_LNC039437)
Source: RNAcentral
AAAAACUACACCUAGGAGUAUUGAACCCACUACCCUAAAGAUCUAGAAGUCACUCCUCUCCACCAGGCCACUUACCAACUAAUUGUUAUUUUAAUACUAAUUUAAAUAUAUAAACUAAAAUAAAUUAAAAAGGAUUAAAAUAAAAAACUAAAUAGAAAGAGGACUGUUAGUCUACUAGUAAUCAAACCCAGCCGCAUGGCUGUUGGGUUUACCAAGAGGAAUAGAUUGGAAACCUAAAACAUUUAUUAACUAACUAAUUAAAAGAAUCUUUUUUCAUAAUGUUUUUCUCUUUAAAACUAAUUAUUCUAUUUAAUAAAAAAAUGAAAAAAGAAAAUAAAGAAAGAAAAACAAAAACGGAUCUGUCUCUCUCACAAAGCUCGCUCUUCUCUCUCUCGCGAUGCUCUCCACCUCAAACUCCCGUCUUCCUCACGAA